Molecule: unclassified non-coding RNA, 187 nt
Filed under: uncultured fungus
Lineage: Eukaryota; Fungi
Description: sequence contains ITS1, 5.8S rRNA gene
Source: RNAcentral
CACAUAGCGGGAGCCGGAAGAUAGUCCCCCUGUAGCAAAAAUUACGGGGGGUAGGACUCUCGCCCCGAGCAAUCGGGUCACCCUGCUUUUUGGGCACCAUUCGUUUCCUCGGCGGGCUUGCCCGCCAACGGGGACCCCUUAAAACCUCUGUAAUGAGCAGUAACUGUCAGUAAAUAAAAAAUUAUCA